Molecule: non-coding RNA, 5781 nt
Organism: Osmia lignaria (orchard mason bee)
Lineage: Eukaryota; Metazoa; Arthropoda; Insecta; Hymenoptera; Megachilidae
Source: RefSeq, a predicted model, not a curated record
CAUUGUUAUAGGUAAAAGUUAGAAGACGAAAGUUAAUUUUGAAAUUCACGGCGGUUCGUGAAGCACGUGGCGCUGUCAACCUCGUACGCGAGUCAAGAAAGACGUCCCUCUAUUUACGACAUAAGGAUCAGAAGACAGUCUAAUGAAUGAAAAAAGAAAAAAAUUAAAUAUCUCGCGCGUUGAAGGUGGAUUCGGUGCAGGAAAUGGCGCGCGCGUAGGAGAAGAGAAAAACAGAAGCGUUUGCCAUUUUGGCACGAAGUUAAAUUUACGAUGAAACCCAAUUUUAAAUCAUAUUUGUUCCAAGUCACCUGUCGUCGUGCAAUUAAGGAGGAUGAGUCGACAAACGAUAACCUACGGUCAUUUUGUUGUUGCUAAUAAGAUUGUAGCACUGGCUAACGACUAUGCUCGUCACUUUUUAACGUUAAUUAUAUCGUUAGGUUGCAACGGCAAUGCUAUAAAUUUCGUCCUGUAACUUUUGAACAUAUAUCCUUUCCUAAAUUAUUAGAUGCAUGGCACGAUUAGAACGAAUACAGUUGACGGGAGAUUUGAAUCGGAUACUCAAUAUUUAAAUAAAACCGGACGAAGAAAAGGACGGUGACGACGCAGAAGUUUAAGAAGUAGACAGAGAGAUGAAGGUUGCAGACGUAAAGCAUAAACAGUGGAGGUGCGAUUUGACGCGCACUCAGCCAUCCAAGGCGCAUCUCGCUCGUUGAACGUACGCUUUAAGAAUCCCGAAGAAGCGACCAACCCAAUGGCUGGAAUCUGUAAAUCUGUCAUUGCGGCCAUAUUCGUGCGGCUGGUACCGCAGGAUAUGAACUUCUGCUCGUCGUAUACACCACCGUCGUACGACUCUAGAUCUCCGCGUUUCUCUUCUUUUCAGAGCUUUGCACCGAAACGGAAGCUUCUCCCUGUUUCUCGAAAUAACAAAUCUUCUUUUUGUUUUCACAAAUGUGACAAACUCUAGGAAACUACAUAUCUUUUUUGUCAUCUUCCUCAUGAAUUAAGAAACUCAUUUUUUUUAAAGACUAAAAUCACAGUUUUUCUUUAUUACAAUGUAAACUCCUUCUUACUUAAUUAAUAAUUUGAACUUAUUCUUAUUGUAAUUUAAUUUUACUUGACGUUAUGCAGAAAGUGAACUCUUUUUAGAUAAAUAAUGAUGAUCCAACUUUAUAAUGGAAUUGAAGAAUAGAUCUGUUUUAUUGUAGAUUCUAUUGUAGAGAUUGAAGAUUCGGUGGAAAGCUGAAAAACCAUUUGGUUGUAUCAAAGUGCGUGGAAACUAUAAAAGCGGAGAGGCAGUCGUCGCACCGUAUACGCGGUAUUCCCUCUGGUAGCUGGCGAUGACGGAUUCAUGGCCCGUGGGAUAACGCAAGACCUCACCCCGAGAUGUUUCGGUUUACGGAUGCACGCUCUUCCCUUCUUUUUUCUUCUAUUUCUCACCUUUUUUUUCCGUUUCAUCUUCCGAGCGAUUCAUUUGUCGGUCUUUGAUCCGCGACCAACAAGCUACUACCGGAAAAUUGGCGAGAUUUAUUAAACGGUUGUCUUCUCUAGACCGUUAUCCAUCGUUCAUUUCUUUUCUACUUUUAUUUAUUCCAGGAUAUCGUAGAAGAUACACUGUUUAUUGGAUAGACUUUCAAGGGGCUUGUAUUUGGGUGGUCAGAAGAGGAAGCGAAACGAUGGAAAAGUGACAAAUUCCAGAUACUUCGUCGGAGGUCGUCGAACGUGUUCUCAAUGGGACACAAGAACCUGCAGGGAUCCAAGAGCAAAAUAAAGGGCUACCUUUGGUAUCAAAUUUUAACACCUUAUCAGUGGGACCUACACCUACCUCGAGAAUGUAAAAACACCAGGAACCAAGUUGCAAUUACAAACAUAUUUGAAACCAAUAGAAGAAAGGAAUUUCUCAAAAUUUUUCAAAAACCUAUCGAUGAUAAGGUGUUAAUUUUCCCUUUAACGGAUACACCUUGCUAUCAUACAAGCAACAAAGAAACCCGAAUUAUCGCGGUCCGUAUAAAGACGCUCCCGGAUGAGGAUGAUGAGGAUGCGCAGGAUAAUGGACGGAGUUCAUGUGUGCAGUUGGUUGUCCAUGGUGUCCAGGAUAAGCCCAUGGUCCCGUUGCCGUUGGACCGUAAAAUUGAUGGUGUUCCUGGCUCGAUAUGCUUGGAAUUUGUACGGCAGGAUUUUGCAUGCUGGAAACAGCGACCGAAUCGCACUCGUCCGACUCGCAAUCACGGAAACCUUUGGCAAACGGAUUGCUGGCGAUCUUCAACUGCGUGAUGCGAUGAUUCUGGUAGGCGGUCACAGCGGUGAACCGGGUUUCAGGGAAGGUGAACGUUUUGAAGUUCUCUGUGCGAGGAUCCGGGGCUGAACCAGGUGGCGAGGGUGCCACUACCACGUGGCAACGUGGCUGAUAUCUGUGCAUCGAGUUUAAGAUUAUCUGAAACAGAAUACGUAUAAACAUUUACAGAGAGUCUUGGGAAAAAUCUGUCCUUGGAAAUAUGUAAGCAUCUCAAGUUUUUUCGACGAUCCUCUGUUAUAAUCGUUAUUGGAAGAUAGUGGUCGUAAGGGGGUAAGAAGAAACGAAGAGGAAGAAGAAUAGAAAGAAAAAAAAAACACACGUGAGGACCUUCCUUUUUCUGGAGGAAGGACCACCGCAGGGGGGCGGUCACGAUGUUUGACAGCCACAAGAGACUCGGUGACUAAUUAGUGUAAAAACUAACCCUACGACCUACUCCGGCAACCCGACACCCUCGUCCUUCCUCCCGCGCACACUUACUGGCAUAUGCCGAGGCAUGUGUCUCUUUGGAUACAUCGAAAGAAGAGCAUAGAGGGGAAUGGAAGGAGGAAAAGAAGAGUCAUCCUCGCAAUACGGAAAAGUGUGCGUGUGGCCUGACACUGGCAACCAAGGAAUUUCGACACGCGAUUUUCCAUUUUCUUUUUUUUCUUUAUUUGUUCCGCUUCAUUGAGAGCUAAUCGUUAACUAAAAGAAGGACAAUUGACUAGAAACGCCAAGGUUUCUUUGUAAUCGGUAUAUUUAUCUUCCUAUGUAUCUCAUGCGGAAAAACAUAAGGGGAUAAAGCACCAAUUAAAAAGUCGAAAUCGUCCAGUAUUUCACUACGUUGGAUUCCAAUUUUUUACAAAGCCUGCUUGGCACGUCUGUUCAAGAGCAAUUAAAGGAACAAACUGUUUCGUGGCACGUGAAAGAAAGGGUCCACGAGUCAAAAUUCUUUCUGCGCGUAAAGCAAUAAAUUCUGAAACGGAACACGAGCCAAAACCACCAAGAAGUUUCUCUCUCUCUCUCUCUAUAAACGAACGGGUUCAAGAAAAUGCGUUUGAAUAAAAUAGUGGUAAAUCAGGAGCAAGAGCAACCGGAUGGAAAGCAAUCCUAAGAGGACAAAUCGUGACAUCAUCUUCCGACUAGCGUCUUGAUCCCGAAGAUUCGCGCACCGUCCUCCCGCUGAUUAGUGACUGAAGCCGGAUCAAAUUCAUUAAUCGAUACAAAGAGAUUCAGAGGAUUGAUCUGUGCGACGAUUCUCCUGGGAAGAAAGGAAUCGAGCUAAGAAAUUUACCGUGCAUCCCUCAGGCCCUUAUAAUUUCUCGGGGAAGACGGGCUCGUAUCUCAGGUCAAUUAAGGCGAACUCGUCCGUAAACGACAAACACGUGGAACGCGAUACUGUCGCAAACGUUUCUCUGCAUCCCUCGUUCUACUUUAUUACGUGCGUACUAUCUUAUGAUAAAUCGAAGAACAUUCAGAAAAGUUGAAGAUGAUAGAGAAAAACGAUUGGAGCUUCGCUUUAACAAGUUACGAGCUUGUCGAACGAAACCGGCUGCUUCAUCCAGUGUGCACCGCUGGCAGGACUAUCAGGGUGAACGUGAAUCCUUGGAGGAGAGACAGGAUCUGCGCGACCGGCAACCACCCAGGCACUGCUAUGGAAAGCGUAUCUGUACCUUUUGUCGUCGCAGGGAACGAAGUCCAUCACUAACAAAUAAUCGGUAUUGGGGUCCAAGCCGAAAAAUCGACACUGUAAAGUCAACAUUUAUUUUUUUUUCUACACCCUCGAAAAUCAUAGAGUAGCAAUAUUUCUAUAAUACCUGAAAAAGUGGUUUCGCCUCGAGCGCGGCUCCAGCGCCGACCAGAGCAGGAUGAAGAGGCCUUUUCGAACUGAUUUCUUCCGUCGAAUUACCGCCAUUCUCGUUCGGAUGAUGAUCACCGUGAUGAUGGUUGUUGUUGUUACUGUCGUUACGAGAUUCGAUGGUAGCCGUCGAAGAUACCGACGAAUUGGUAACACGCGGUGUUAGCGAUGCUUUUGGUGAUGGCACAUUGGCGAUGGACUGACCAUGCUGACCCGGAUGAUGCGUGGCCCAUUGUUGGUAACAACAAUCGGCAGCGAUAUCGUGUCUCUGUUCAUGUUGCUGUUGCAUCCUUGCAAACUUUUAAACCGCAUACACAAGAUCCUUUGCCCUUCUCUUAACAAAUUCACUAUAUCAAUCUUUUAAGACCUUCUCAAUCUACGAUUCUUUUUAAUUGUAAGUACAUAAUUUACAUAAUCAUUAUCACCGUCACUUUGUUUUUAUAUUUAUAACGUAAAGCACAUCAUCCCCUUAGGGUAAUCAACACUCGAAGCUUCGUCUUGAUGUAUACAAUCCUUUUAGUCAGUACGAAACAAUGGGACGACAUAUGGAUACGGAAUUACAUCCCUCGUUGUCAACGAUGAAAUAACAGGAAGAAAGAGAAAUCGGUGGAGAAUGCUUAUCUUUCGCUUGGCCCGGGGUUGGUCGUUAAGUCGUCGCAAUCAGCGAGGUUCAAGAUCCUGGCGGAAUAUCAGAGGAUGCUCGACAUCGUCGACGGGUUCUCACACCUCUCGUCAACAGGACUUGUCCUCACCUCGGUAUCCGGACGCUGACAAGAGCUUAAAGCUCGCCUCGUGAAUCGGAUGAAUCAGAAAGAACUCCCCCGAGUCGACUACACACCUCGUGGCUUAUCAUCGAGACAUCACUCUCCUAUGUGUAUAUAUUCCCUCUCUCUUUUCACGAGGGAGAAUCUCCUCCUUCUUCUCUACAUUUCUGUUGGUUUCCUGACGGUAAACCGAUUCAGGGAUAGUGGAGAGGAGGAUUGAGAGGCAGGGAAGCAUUUGUACAAGGAAGGAGGGGUUUCUCGAGGAUCCUCCUACGCGGGACACCCACGCCAGGCUAACUUCGGUUCACUUGGGACGCUGACUGCAACCUCUUCCUUUGGAUCCGGUGCCAAAAGGCGGAGUCUUCUCGUACGGGAAGAAACACUUGGGGGGAAUAGAGCACGAGCUUCAGCCUCGCAAGGGAAUGAGAAACCUUUCCUUGUGUAUUAUACGCUUGAUUGCGGACCACUAGGGUUAAUUGAUUAAAAUGAGGUAAGAAACCGUUUGGAUUCAACCUUCAUCUAUGCUCUUCUAAGAUGUAUUCUUCUUCAGGUAGAAAUAAUAAGAAACAAAACAAAUUUACAAUCAAAGGGUUGAAUGGAACGCAAUGUAAACAUAAUAUCUUAGUAUUCCUUACUAAUCUUACUACAUAUAUGCUUCAAGACUUAAUUAAAAGGUAUUGAAAUUCUUUAUUGUAUACAACUUUUUACAAUAUAUUUUAAUACAUUUUGAUGAUGUUUAUGUUGUUUGCACAGUGUUACUAACCGGAGUAUUCGGUGUAUAGUAAACCAAUUGAAUAUUUAUGCCAAUACAACCACUGUUUUGUUACGCACUUUAUGAAGCCUUUGAUUAAGUAUAAAUAAAUUGGAAAAUUAAACUGUAAUUGAAAAAA